UUGAUAACUCCACCUGUAUCUCCUCCGGGGGCAACUGCCGGUCCCAAGCGCGGAUAAAGGAGGAGGGUUGG
Schistosoma mansoni is the source of this 71-nucleotide non-coding RNA. NCBI's taxonomy places the organism in Eukaryota, Metazoa, Platyhelminthes, Trematoda, Strigeidida, Schistosomatidae. The record is from Rfam.